GGGGGCGACUGGAUUCGACUGAACUGACGAAACCGUGGUCGCGUGCCGAGGUUGUCCGGAGGCCUCGUAAAAAACCGGGCAAACAAUACGUGCCAAAAACAUGGUAAAUGGGUUCGCCCCGGUUGUGCCGAUUCGGCCGAUCGCGGCCCCCAUGGCACUGGCCGCGUAAAUUACGCGCCCGUCCGUUGAUCGACGCCUACUAGGUUAAACGGACGACAGCAGUAGGCUGGCCGUGGUUUGGUUCCUCUAGGGACCGCGGCGAGGAGACCAACUAGGGGGUAGCCGGCGGCGUGAUCCCGUCCGCGGGAGCCGCGGCUGGCGACGUUUCGAAAACGCGGACUACGCACGUAGUGGACGCGGUGGAGUUAUUUCAGGACGGGGGUUCAAUUCCCCCCGCCUCCACCA
RNAcentral lists this transfer-messenger RNA (405 nucleotides) under Candidatus Omnitrophota. Its description in RNAcentral is "JAMWCF01 sp023818695 Standard tmRNA". It matches the Rfam family "transfer-messenger RNA". From Rfam's summary of the family: Bacterial tmRNA, also known as 10Sa RNA or SsrA, is named for its dual tRNA and mRNA-like properties. Its role is to liberate the mRNA from a stalled ribosome. To accomplish this part of the tmRNA is used as a reading frame that ends in a translation stop signal. Lineage: Bacteria; Pseudomonadati. RNAcentral also lists the same sequence under 2 other names. The record is from RNAcentral.